RNAcentral lists this ribosomal RNA (309 nucleotides) under Triticum aestivum (bread wheat). RNAcentral describes it as "partial small subunit ribosomal RNA". Lineage: Eukaryota; Viridiplantae; Streptophyta; Magnoliopsida; Poales; Poaceae. The record is from RNAcentral.
AUGCACUUGGGAAAUGGUUCCAAGGUCGAUGUGAUCACCGUCGGCACGCUACCUCUACAUCUACCAUCGGGAUUAGUUUUAGACCAGAAUAAUUGUUAUUUGGUGCCAGCGUUGAGCAUGGACAUUAUAUCUGGAUCUUGUUUGAUGCGAGACGGUUAUUCAUUUAAAUCAAAGAAUAAUGGUUGUUCUAUUUAUAUGAGUAAUAUCUUUUAUGGUCAUGCACCCUUGCUGAGUGGUCCAUUUUUGUUGAAUCUCGAUAGUGAUGAUACACAUAUUCAUAAUGUUGAAGCCAAAAGAUGCAAAUUUUAA